Molecule: long non-coding RNA, 1574 nt
Filed under: Homo sapiens (human)
Lineage: Eukaryota; Metazoa; Chordata; Mammalia; Primates; Hominidae
Description: HSALNT0054829
Source: RNAcentral
UCCUAUUCGGCCAUCUUGGCUCCUCCCUCCAUCGGUAAACCAACUCUUUAACAAAGGGGAGCUGAGGCUCUGUGGCUGGAACCUGGGACUUAGGCCUGAAUUAAUCAGAGCAAUGCACUCCACUGGCCCUGUGUGGGUGAGCACAUGGAUGGCAUGCUGAUCACAUUUCCAGGCCACCAUGAGGCAGAAGUAGAGCUAAUAGACUGGAUGAAAGAAGAAUGAGCCAGAGCAAUGCCGACAGUCUGCAAAGCCAGGUCAAGUUAGGCAACCUGGAGCAUAACAGAGAAAUGCAAAGUCCAGCCCUUGGGUCCAGACAAGUUACACAACGAUGGCAGAUGUUCUUGAUGAAUGGAUAAUGUUGUCUUUAGAUGUUCUCAACCAUCCUGGGCACGUGAAAACCCACCCGAUGGCUCUCAUCAAGUGGAAAAGAAGAAGGGGAAAUCCGAGCAAAAAGAUAUUACAGACUCGUCUUCCUGAGACACGUGCACCUGCUAAGGGAGUAGCAUUAAGGAAAUCUACAAAGUCAGCCUCUGAUUAUCAAGGUUCUUCCUUAAGGAGAAAAGGAAAAAAGCAAAAGCAAAAUAACACAUUUACUUCAAAGAACUCCUGUCUGAUUGAGCGAAGGAAAAGUAGCCUCAUUGCUUUGAUCCUUUCACUGAGCAAAACAACAUGAAAAGCGAAGACAAGGCUCAAAAUAUGGGCUUUUGUUGAGCGCAUCAUUAGGAGUGUUUAUUGGCUGCUGCAAACACACAUCCCAGCUCCAGAGCACGCGCAUGAAGUGGAGAUUCGUGGAGCCCUCGAGCCAGUUCUUUGGUUUUCAGGGCCUCUGCUCCUGUGGUCACCUGAGGACUGACUCAAGCUGAUGGAAGCCUUGACAUGUGCUCCCACCAUCUCCCUGGCAAGUGAAGAAGGUGUGAUGACUCAUGGCUUGGCUCUCUAAAGUUCAACCUUCUAUACACAAACCAUCGGUCACAGACAGUUAUCAGUUAUAUGGCCACCCUAAUUUCAAAAGAGAGAAGUACAAUCCCACCAUGUGCUCACAGAGGGGAGAACUUUUAAUGCUGCACUCUCAGCAAGGAUGCUUUUCCUUAAUUGAUGGGCACUUCCUCAACUGAACCAUCACAGGGGAUGCAGAAUGACAACAAAGAGAAGACCCAGUGAGAGGAACAAGCUACCUCAACCCGGAGUGGUGCUCCUGAAAGUCUCUACAGAAGAAUCCAGAACCAGUAUCCCUCGUUCAUUCAACACCUAAUUACCGAGGUCCUUCUCUGAGACAGGCCCUGGGUUAGCUCAGAGAUAGUUCGUAAAGACCAUUGCUCAUGGUCUUUCUUCUGAGGGGAUGUUCCUAAAAUUCCAGGAGCUCAGUCAUGUUGAAGUUCUAUGGUGUGUGAAAAAUCACAGGCCUUGGAAUCAUGCGACCUGGGCUCCAUUAUUGCCUGAAUGACGCUAACCCAUCAUUUCUCCUCUCGGCCUCAGUUUCUUCCUCUGUGAAACAGCAUGGCAACAGUAACUUUACAUAGAAUUGUGAGGAUUCAGCAGGGUGACCAUAAAAAGUGCUUCACAUAGAGCUUGAU